UAACUUGUUCGAUAAUUAAGUUUCGGAUAACCGUGGGAAACCAAGGCUAAGACGUGUGGAACGCAAAAUCUGAUUUUGCUGUUUUUCUUGUUGUUUAAAUUGAACGCUUUAACGCGUGCGCAGAUUCGCAAGAACUUUUCGAAUCGAAAUUUUUCGAUAAGUCGUUUAGGGUUCUGACCUAUCAGCUCUCGUCGGUAGGAUAUUGGCCUACUGAGGCGAUGACGGGUAACGGGGAAUUAGGGUUUGAUUCCGGAGAGGGAGCCUGAGACAUGGCUACCACGUCUAAGGAUGGCAGCAGGCGCGCAAAUUACCCAAUCCUGACAAAGGGAGGUAGUGACAAAGAAUAGCAACUCAAAGCAUUUGCUUUGCUGAUUGCAAUGAGAUUCGGCUAAAGCUCGUUUCGAGAAUCAAUUGGAGGGCAAGUCUGGUGCCAGCAGCCGCGGUAAUUCCAGCUCCAAUAGCGUAUAUUUAAGUUGUUGCAGUUAAAAAGCUCGUAGUUUAAUCGAUUUGUUUGUAUUGCUUCUCAUUUUUGAGAAAGCGACAGAUUUGGGCUCUUUUUGAGUUUUCUGUUACUUUGAGAAAAAUUGAGUGUUUCACGCGGGCCAGAGCUGAAAUAGUUUACCAUGGAAUGACGAUGUGGCCGUUGUCUUGUUUCUUCAGUUUUGAGACAACGGCACGUGGUUGAAAGAAACGGUCGGGGGUAUUCGUAUUGAACAGUCAGAGGUGAAAUUCUUAGAUUUGCUCACGACGAACAAAUGCGAAAGCAUCUACCAAGGAUGUUUUCAUUAAUCAAGAACGAAAGUUAGGGGAUCCAAGACGAUCAGAUACCGUCGUAGUCUUAACCGUAAACUAUGCCGACUAGAGAUCGGUGGAAAUCAUUGUAGAUUCCGUCGGCACCUUACGAGAAAUCAAAGUUUUUGGGUUCUGGGGGGAGUAUGGUCGCAAGGCUGAAACUUAAAGGAAUUGACGGAAGGGCACCACCAGGAGUGGAGCCUGCGGCUUAAUUUGACGCAACACGGGAAAACUCACCAGGUCCAGACAUAGGAAGGAUUGACAGAUUGAGAGCUCUUUCUUGGUUCUAUGGGUGGUGGUGCAUGGCCGUUCUUAGUUGGUGCCGUCAGGUGUCUGGUUAAUUCCGUCAACGAACGAGACCUUUGCCGGCUUAUUAGAUUCUUUUUCUGAGGAUUAAGGAUCUACUUAGCGGGACCUUGUGCGUCACAGUACAAUGAAGCAAAGGCAAUAACAGGUCUGUGAUGCCCUUAGAUGUUCUGGGCUGCACGCGUGCUACAAUGGCGUUCGCAAAAAGUGGCGUUUCUGAAAGGAAAAGCGAAUCUUAGAAUUGGCGUCGUGAUCGGGACAGUUGAUUGCAAUUAUUUGACUCGAACGAGGAAUUCCUUGUAAUCGCGAUUCAUCAUAUCGCGCUGAAUACGUCCCUGCCCUUUGUACACACCGCCCGUCGCUCCUACCGAUUGAGCGGUCCGGUGAAUUAUUUGGAACGAAGCAGAGCAAUGUUAUGUUGCUGUGAUUUGCGAAAUUUUGUGAACCUUAUCGCUUAGAGGAAGGAAAAGUCGUAACAAGGUU
This 1581-nucleotide ribosomal RNA is filed under the name metagenome. RNAcentral describes it as "SSU rRNA". It matches the Rfam family "Eukaryotic small subunit ribosomal RNA". The record is from RNAcentral.